AAGCCGCGCCCAAAAAUAACCGUCCGAAGGCCGGGGCGCCCAAUUCGUCCAGCGGAAAAAGGCCACAAAAACGGGUGGGCUAUAGACUUGGGGGGUGGGGCUGGCCGACUUCGUCCGCCGGACUCGGAAUGCAGCGAGAUUUUGCGAGGGGCCUCCGUGUGCCAAAAAUAGUCCGCGGGCAAAGCCGCGCCCAAAAAUAACCUCCCGAAGGCAGGGGCGCCCAGUUCGUCCAGCGGAAAAAGGCCACAAAAACGGGUGGGCUAUAGCCUUGGGGGUGGGGCGGGUCAACUUCCUCCG
This 297-nucleotide long non-coding RNA is filed under the name Citrus x clementina. RNAcentral's name for it is "Citrus clementina (C. clementina) long non-coding RNA (CCLE_LNC003160)". Lineage: Eukaryota; Viridiplantae; Streptophyta; Magnoliopsida; Sapindales; Rutaceae. The record is from RNAcentral.